UGGGAGGUGAGGCCUGAGCAGUCAUGGCAUUGGCAGAUGGUGCCUGGCAGCCUGGUCCUACUGAAGCAGUUUGGGCACUUCCACCUGUAGGGGCAAAGUAGAGACAGGUUAGAGAAGGGAGCUCAGCCACCUCACCUCCCUCCCUACUGGAAGGACACACAAGACACUGCAAUAUGUUAUGUCUGUGGAAUGUGAAUGAGGUGUUGACACUGAGGGAGCAUUUUUCAUUGUCUGUAAAAAUUGGAUGUCAUUGAGUGACCACUGGAAUUACAAUUGAGAUUUUCCUUUAUCUCAUGAUACCUUGUCCCAGAUGAUGUUGUGGGGGUUGGGUAUCCAACCAAAUGGACAAACGAUCGUGGACUUUGUCACCCAGGCCAGACUUCCAGGGGAGGCAGGGCUUGGAGAAGUAGGGUGUCCAGGGAUGGCUCCUGUGUCCAUGGCACUGGCUAGGCAAAGGUAGACUCUCCUGAGAGGUGAAUCUCCCAGAGACCUUUCGGAUGGACUGACCUGUAGGACUUGGCUGGUCCUGAGAGGAGGCUAAGUAAAACGUGGAUCAUUUUUGUUUGGGGAAAUGGAGAAGACUUAAAGGAAGGACCCGAGGCAAAACUACUCUGUAGAGGCCAUUUCUCCAUUUUAAGGAGAAACAGGCUUCAUUGCAGAAUGAAAGAGAAGCAUGGAGUGAGGUAUUAAAGGAAGCUCCUUAAAGGAAGGGUAGAGUCUCAGCUCUAGGGGAUAUACAGGUG
This 743-nucleotide long non-coding RNA is filed under the name Homo sapiens (human). Its description in RNAcentral is "HSALNT0020029". Lineage: Eukaryota; Metazoa; Chordata; Mammalia; Primates; Hominidae. The record is from RNAcentral.